RNAcentral lists this ribosomal RNA (301 nucleotides) under uncultured bacterium. Its description in RNAcentral is "partial 16S ribosomal RNA". It matches the Rfam family "Bacterial small subunit ribosomal RNA", at positions 509 to 807 of the family's 1533-position model. The record is from RNAcentral.
CAGUCGCCGCGGUAAUACAGAGGGUGCGAGCGUUAAUCGGAUUUACUGGGCGUAAAGCGUGCGUAGGCGGCUAAUUGAGUCGGAUGUGAAAUCCCCGAGCUUAACUUAGGAAUUGCAUUCGAUACUGGGAAGCUAGAGUAUGGGAGAGGAUGGUAGAAUUCCAGGUGUAGCGGUGAAAUGCGUAGAGAUCUGGAGGAAUACCGAUGGCGAAGGCAGCCAUCUGGCCUAAUACUGACGCUGAGGUACGAAAGCAUGGGGAGCAAACAGGAUUAGAUACCCGGGUAGUCCCUGUCUCUUAUAC